RNAcentral lists this long non-coding RNA (286 nucleotides) under Citrus maxima (pomelo). RNAcentral describes it as "long non-coding RNA (CMAX_LNC003859)". The record is from RNAcentral. Lineage: Eukaryota; Viridiplantae; Streptophyta; Magnoliopsida; Sapindales; Rutaceae.
UGAUUCGGACUUUCAAACCUUAGCUUUGCCCAAAUUCUUCACAGCACUUUCUGGGUUCUUUUCAGGGAUAUUUUAGCUUAAGGACAACGGGUUUCAAGGUGUUGACAGAGGCGGCUUUCAAGGUGUUGACAGAGGCGGCUUUCAAGGUAGAUCGUUGUUAGAGAGAGAAAGAGAGCGAGAGAGAGGGAAGGAGAGAGAAGGAAGAAAGCUUCAGCGCCCGUGAGAUAGAUUUUUGACUUAACAAAAAUUUUUAGGUUUUAGGUUUCACACAGACCAUACAUGAAAG